CUGAGAAAGGAGGAGCCGCCUGACACUAAUCCCGCUCUCGCGAGCACUGAAACUAUCGCGAGAUCUGACGCCCGACUUGUGCGCCCGGGAAACCCCGUCGUUCCCUUUCCCCUGGCUGGCAGCGCGGAGGCCGCACGAUGCCUGGAGUUACUGUAAAAGACGUUAACCAGCAGGAGUUCGUCAGAGCUCUGGCAGCCUUCCUCAAAAAGUCCGGGAAGCUGAAAGUACCCGAAUGGGUGGACACAGUCAAGCUGGCUAAGCAUAAGGAGCUUGCUCCCUACGAUGAGAACUGGUUCUACACACGAGCUGCUUCCACAGCACGGCACCUGUACCUCCGGGGCGGUGCUGGGGUUGGCUCCAUGACCAAGAUCUAUGGGGGGCGUCAGAGAAAUGGCGUCAUGCCCAGCCACUUCAGCCGCGGCUCCAAGAGUGUGGCCCGCCGGGUCCUCCAAGCCCUGGAGGGGCUGAAAAUGGUAGAAAAGGACCAAGAUGGGGGCCGCAAAUUGACACCUCAGGGACAGAGAGAUCUGGACAGAAUUGCCGGACAGCUGCUUGAACAUCUGGGUGCUGCACUAGAAGGAACCCAGGCCCAGGGCACCACCUGGCAUCUGCAUUGUACAUAGCUGCACCCGCACACGUGACUGCCUCUUCCCUGAUCAGGCUACUUACAGAUUCUGGCUGCAGUGCUCCUUCUGGCUUAUGCUUCAUGCUUACUGAGCAUCAGACAGAGGUGGCAGCUGCCAACAAGAAGCAUUAGAACAAAUGAUGCUGGGUUAAUAAAUUGCCUCAUUCGUAA
Nycticebus coucang (slow loris) is the source of this 796-nucleotide RNA transcript. It is a transcript of the gene named ribosomal protein S19, with no coding region annotated. Lineage: Eukaryota; Metazoa; Chordata; Mammalia; Primates; Lorisidae. The transcript has 7 exons. The record is from RefSeq and is a predicted model, not a curated record.